This 798-nucleotide ribosomal RNA is filed under the name uncultured bacterium. Its description in RNAcentral is "bacterial SSU rRNA". It matches the Rfam family "Bacterial small subunit ribosomal RNA", at positions 8 to 796 of the family's 1533-position model. The record is from RNAcentral.
AGAGUUUGAUCAUGGCUCAGGGUGAACGCUGGCGGCGCGCCUAAUGCAUGCAAGUCGAGCGUGCCCUGGUAGCUUCGGCCAUCAGGGAAAGCGGCAGACGGCUGAGUAACGCGUGAGUAACCUACCCUCUGGUGGGGUAUAGCCGCGAGAAAUCGCGGUUAAUCCCGCAUAAGAUCUCCAGGCCUUGGUUUGGAGAUGAAAGCCUUCGGGCGCCGGAGGAGGGGCUCGCGUCCUAUCAGGUAGUUGGUGAGGUAACGGCCCACCAAGCCGAUGACGGGUAGCUGGUCUUAGAGGACGACCAGCCAGAGGGGGACUGAGACACGGCCCCCACUCCUACGGGAGGCAGCAGUGGGGAAUCUUGCGCAAUGGCCGAAAGGCUGACGCAGCGACGCCGCGUGCGGGAUGAAGCUUUUCGGAGUGUAAACUCCUGUCAGGGGGGACGAAGGUCCGUCGGUGAAUAAUCGACGGGCUUGACGGUACCUCCAGAGGAAGCCCCGGCUAACUCCGUGCCAGCAGCCGCGGUAAUACGGAGGGGGCGAGCGUUAUUCGGAAUUAUUGGGCGUAAAGGGCGCGUAGGCGGCCCGGUAAGUCAAAGGUGAAAUCCCUCGGCUCAACUGAGGAAUUGCCUUUGAAACUGCCAGGCUCGAGGCCGGGAGGGGGUAGCGGAAUUCCCAGUGUAGCGGUGAAAUGCGUAGAUACUGGGAGGAACACCAGUGGCGAAGGCGGCUACCUGGACCGGUUCUGACGCUGAGGCGCGAAAGCGUGGGGAGCAAACAGGAUUAGAUACCCCGGUAGUCC